CGUACUCACUGCGGAGGGAUCAUUACACAAAUAUGAAGGCGGGCUGGAACCUCUCGGGGUUACAGCCUUGCUGAAUUAUUCACCCUUGUCUUUUGCGUACUUCUUGUUUCCUUCCUGGGUUCGCCCACCACUAGGACAAUCAUAAACCUUUUGUAAUUGCAAUCAGCGUCAGUAACAAAUUAAUAAUUACAACUUUCAACAACGGAUCUCUUGGUUCUGGCAUCGAUGAAGAACGCAGCGAAAUGCGAUAAGUAGUGUGAAUUGCAGAAUUCAGUGAAUCAUCGAAUCUUUGAACGCACAUUGCGCCCUUUGGUAUUCCAAAGGGCAUGCCUGUUGCUCCGUCAUUUGUACCCUCAAGCUUUGCUUGGUGUUGGGCGUCUUGUCUCUAGCUUUGCUGGAGACUCGCCUUAAAGUAAUUGGCAGCCGGCCUACUGGUUUCGGAGCGCAGCACAAGUCGCACUCUCUAUCAGCAAAAUCCUAGCAUCCAUUAAGCCUUUUUUUCAACUUUUGACCUCCCUAUCAGGUAGGGAUACCCGCUGAACUUAAGCAUAUCAAUAAGCGGAGGAA
This 567-nucleotide ribosomal RNA is filed under the name Alternaria alternata. Its description in RNAcentral is "eukaryotic LSU rRNA". The stretch from base 191 to 344 matches the Rfam family "5.8S ribosomal RNA". Lineage: Eukaryota; Fungi; Ascomycota; Dothideomycetes; Pleosporales; Pleosporaceae. The record is from RNAcentral.